RNAcentral lists this ribosomal RNA (253 nucleotides) under uncultured bacterium. Its description in RNAcentral is "partial 16S ribosomal RNA". It matches the Rfam family "Bacterial small subunit ribosomal RNA", at positions 524 to 776 of the family's 1533-position model. The record is from RNAcentral.
UACGUAGGGUGCAAGCGUUGUCCGGAAUUACUGGGCGUAAAGCGUGCGUAGACGGUUACAUAAGUCGGGUGUGAAAGCCCCGGGCUCAACCUGGGAAUUGCAUUCGAGACUGCGUAGCUAGGGUACGGAAGAGGGAGGCGGAAUUUCAGGUGUAGCGGUGAAAUGCGUAGAUAUCUGAAGGAACACCAGUGGCGAAAGCGGCCUCCUGGUCCAGUACCGACGUUCAGGCACGAAAGCGUGGGGAGCAAACAGG